GGUGGGAUUGAGGAAUUUGAUUAUGGCUCAGAUUGAGCCUUUGGCGGGAUGCUUUACACAUGCAAGUCGAACGGCAGCACGGACUUCCGGUCUGGUGGCAGAGUGGCGAACGGGUGAAGUAAUGUAUCGGAACGUGCUAGUAGCGGGGAUAACACGCAGCGUAGCUAAUACAUACGCCCUUCAGAGAAGCGGGGACCUUUGGGCCUCGCACUAUUAAACGGCCGAUAUCAGAUUAUUAGUUGGUGGGGUAACAACUCACAAGAAAGGCGACGAUCCGUAGCUGGUUUGAGAGGACGACCAGCCACACUGGGACUGGAGCACAGCCCAGACCACCACGGGAGGCAGCGGUGGGGAAUUUUGGACAAUGGAAACCCUAGUCAUCAUCCCGCGUGUGCGAUGAGCCUUCGGGUUGUAAAGCACUUUUGGCAGGAAAGAAACGGCACGGGAUAUUACCCCGUGCAACUGACGGCUUACCUGCAGAAUAAGCACCGGCUAACUACGUGCAGCAGCCGCGGUAAUACGUAGGGUGCAACGUUAAUCAACACUGGGCGUAAAGCGUGCGCAGGCGGUUCAGGAAAGAAAAUGCUUGAAUCCGACUUAACUGGAACUGCAUUUUUAUACCGAGCUAGAGUGUGUCAGAGGAGGUGGAAUUUACGCGUGUAGCAGUGAAAUGCGUAGAUAUGCGGAGAGACACCGAUGGCGAAGCCUCCUGGGAUAACACUGUGACGCUCAUGCAAGCGUAAGGAGCAAACAAGUUAGAUACCCUGGUAGUCCACGCCUAAACGAUCAUCGUAGCUGUUGGGGCCUUCGGGCCUUCGGUAGCGCAACUAACGCGUGAAGUUGACCGCCUGGGAGGUCACGGUCGCAGGUCAAGCUCAAAGAGGUGGUAAGGACCACACCAAGCGUUGGAUGAUGUGGAUUAAUUCGAUGCAACGCGAAAACCUUACCUACCCUUGACAUGUCUGGAAUCCCGAAGAGAUUUGGGAGUGCUCGCAAGAGAACCGGAACGCAGGUACUGCUGAAAAGUGUGUCGCUCGUGUCGUGAGAUGUUGGGUUAAGUCCCGCAACGAAGCGCAACCUUGUCAUUAGUUGCUGCGAAGGGCACUCUAAUGAGACUGCCGGUGACAAACCGGAGGAAGGUGGGGAUGACGUCAGUCCUCAUGGCCCUUAUGGGUAGGGCUUCACGUCUCACCGUGGUCGGGACAGAGAGGGUCGCCAGCCCGCGAGGGCCAAUCCCAGAAACCCGAUCGUAGUCCGGAUCCGCAGUCUGCCAACUCGACUGCGUGAAGUGGAGUCAUGGUAAUCGCGGAUCAGCAUGUCUCGCAGUGAAUACGUUCCAGGUCUUGUACACACCAUGCACGUCACACCAUGGGAGUGGGUUUUACCAGAAGUAGUUAGCCUAACCGCCAAGGAGGGCGAUUACACACGGUAGGAUUCAUGACUGAGGUGAAGUCGUAACAAGAGUAA
This 1467-nucleotide ribosomal RNA is filed under the name uncultured Bordetella sp. Its description in RNAcentral is "partial 16S-23S ribosomal RNA intergenic spacer". It matches the Rfam family "Bacterial small subunit ribosomal RNA". Lineage: Bacteria; Pseudomonadati; Pseudomonadota; Betaproteobacteria; Burkholderiales; Alcaligenaceae. The record is from RNAcentral.